This 421-nucleotide ribosomal RNA is filed under the name Salmonella enterica. RNAcentral describes it as "bacterial SSU rRNA". It matches the Rfam family "Bacterial small subunit ribosomal RNA", at positions 1 to 418 of the family's 1533-position model. The record is from RNAcentral. Lineage: Bacteria; Pseudomonadati; Pseudomonadota; Gammaproteobacteria; Enterobacterales; Enterobacteriaceae.
AAAUUGAAGAGUUUGAUCAUGGCUCAGAUUGAACGCUGGCGGCAGGCCUAACACAUGCAAGUCGAACGGUAACAGGAAGCAGCUUGCUGCUUCGCUGACGAGUGGCGGACGGGUGAGUAAUGUCUGGGAAACUGCCUGAUGGAGGGGGAUAACUACUGGAAACGGUGGCUAAUACCGCAUAACGUCGCAAGACCAAAGAGGGGGACCUUAGGGCCUCUUGCCAUCAGAUGUGCCCAGAUGGGAUUAGCUUGUUGGUGAGGUAACGGCUCACCAAGGCGACGAUCCCUAGCUGGUCUGAGAGGAUGACCAGCCACACUGGAACUGAGACACGGUCCAGACUCCUACGGGAGGCAGCAGUGGGGAAUAUUGCACAAUGGGCGCAAGCCUGAUGCAGCCAUGCCGCGUGUAUGAAGAAGGCCUU